GGAAGCGUCGUACUGUGCCACUCAGAGUGUGAGCUGAGAUACAACGAUCGCGUGUAUACGAUAUAAUAGCUUCUGCACAUUGAUCUAUUCAUUUCAGUUCCUUUCUGUCUUUUUUCCGCAUUAUCGAUGGAUACGUCUGUCAGUUACCACGCUACUUCGGAGACGUCCACGGCUGGAACGAAGAUGGUUUCAUCUAAUCAGCCGCGGAAAACAAAAAUAUUUGUGGGCCGGUUGCCAGAAAAUUGUCGCAAUGAUGAAUUGCGACAAUUAUUCUUGCGCUUUGGUGAAGUGACAGAAUGUGAUGUCAUGAAUCGAUAUGGUUUCGUCCACAUGGCACGGGAAGAGGAUGCAGCUGCAGCAAUUAAGGCACUUCACAAUUCCAACUUCAAAGGAGCGACGAUCAACGUGGAACAGUCAACCGGGAAGUCACGUGGAGGUGGAGGAGGACGCCGAGAUGACCGAAGAGGUGGACCAAUGAGAGGUGGUAGGGGAGGACGAGACGGUGGUAGAGACGCUCGUCCUGGACCAUACAAUGAUAGAAGAGGUGGCGUCGCAACCGGGUACACCGAUUACAAUCGUGGAGCUGGAGACUUUAGCGGCCGUGGGGCGGACUUUGGUGCUAGCUAUGCUGAUCGCACUUAUGGUCAGAACGUGGGUGGCGCGGCGAUGGGUUACACCUCGACGGCGCCAGGAAUGGGUGGCGGAUAUGGACCAGCUGCCGGUGCCGUGGGAGGAUACGGACCGACCGGUGCGGCGGAUUAUGGACGAACGGCUGAUUACGGUCGCGCUGACUUCGGUGCUAGAACAGACUAUGUAGUUGGUGGUGGUAUGGCGGGAGAUUUCAAUCGUGGUGCACCUGGUCCAGUAGAUUAUGGUCGUACCGAUAAUUUUGGCGCCAGUCGCACGGUCGAUUAUACAGCUAGAAAUGAUUAUGACCGAAGUGCGACUGGACCAAUGAGAAACGGUGGUGGCGCCGUUGCCACUACUGGAUAUGGAACUGGGUACACAGAUGUGGGAUAUGAUGAAAGUCACUGGCCCAUGAGUACUGGACCUAGCUACAGCACUGGAGCACCUAGUUACAGCACUGGUCCAGGACCACAAGCUGAUAUGUUUAGUAGAAGACCUGGCAGUGCCGUACCCAGUGGUGGAUAUCCACCAGUAGCUGGCGGUUAUGCCGAGGGAUAUGACAGACCAGAUGCAUAUGGUCCUCCACGUGGUGGCGGACGCUUCCCAGGUCCGGCAGACGCGAUGCCACCGAGGUACUAAAAAUAUACUAAAGCAAACAUGCUAGCGCAUGCGAAAGGCAACCGUAUAAAAAAAAAAUCAUAAAAAAAUCACCGCCUUUUAAGCAGCGAUCAUUCGCUUAUGGACUUGAUUAUCUAGGAACUCUGCCCUCUGCGUCCGACAUUGAGUCCAUAUGAUUAUAAUGACAAACUUAUAUAUAACUUAUAAUGUUUAAUUCUAUCAUAAGAUAUGGUAAGGAUAAUCCACUUAUCAGUGGAUGACAUAAAUUUGAUCGAAAUUGAAAAAUUUAUUAUUAAUUAAUAACAAAAUUUAUAUAUCUCUUACGUUAGUUUAUUGUGUGUUUGAAAAGAAUUUUCAGGAUAUUAUUCAUGUAGAUCAUCUUUUUUUCUUAUUGUCUUUUUCUAUGAAUAAAUAAAAUCCAAUAUGUUAUUUAACGUGGGUUGAAUAUUUCCCUUAACUUAAUUUUCUGAAUGCCCACAUUGUAGCGUAGAUAAUUUUACUACAUUCAAUAGCUUUAAUUCUCUACAAAGGGUGACUUAUACUAUUGAUAAUGUUGCUGUACAAUCUUUUUUUAACACUUAAAAGAACUCAAACAUAAUAUUUUAAAUGUUCAUUCAUAAAGAGCAGAGAAACUUACAUAUAUAAUAACAGUUAUCAUACAUUUAAUGUAUCUUUAUAUAAAAGAAAUAAAGUGCAAAUGAAUGUAAGUAAUCUUUAUUUAAAAUCUUUAAUAAUAUAAUAUAAUUUAUUUCUUCUUUCAGUCGUUUUGUGCGUAAUAAAACUGUUACUAAAUUUAAUUAGUUAUUGAUUGUUAAAGUAUAAAAAAUAUAAUUUUAUCAAUAACAUCUAUUUUCAAUUUGUAAUUCAUGAGAAAAAGUAUUUGUCAUUUUGCCUUUAUUUUUCUUUGUCGUUGCAUAUUUAUUAUUCAUAUAAAUGUCAAGAAUUUAAUUCUCAUAAUAUUAUUUAAAAAGCUGAUUUAGUUUGGAGAGAGAUAUCAAGUUACAGCAGCGAUAUCAGAUAGAAUACUAGUUAUUCAUCUGACAUAUCUACUUGCACUAUUCGCAGAAGCGAAGAAAUCAAUUAGUAAUAAUCAGCGUGCGUUCAACUAUGUUACUCAAUGUUAAUUCUUAAUUCGACGAUGUUGUGCAUUGUAAUCUUAAAUUAUUUUUAGGAGAAUUAAUUUUAUAAUAAUCUAAUAUAAAGUAUAUGUGAAGUUGAAAGUUAUAUAUUAUUAUAUAAACGCAUCAUGUAACGAUACAGUAUAUGAUAAUGUAUGAUAAUGAAACAGUAUAAAAAUCUAUUUAAUAAUAUUCCAAAACAAAAAAUUUUGAAAAGAGACAAACUCUGUCAUAGAUAUAGGAAGAUCUAAAAAAAAAACUCGAUAACAAUGCAAAACGUCAAUCUCCAGCUGGUGCAGUUUACUUAGUUAGGUACUGCACUGAAACGCUGAUUUGUGAACGCGUGCGGUGAACGCGUUGCCGUACGUUACCUUGGGGCGGCUUGUUGACCUGCGAUUAUUGAAGAAACCGAUUACGACGAUUACUCGCUAUGCGUGGCUACCCGUAGAUGCGACCCGAUCGGCGAAUAAACCAACCUGCGAUAUAUGGAUAAUGCGCCACAAAUUGCGUUUGCGCUCAAAGCUGGCGUGCUUUGAAUUUGACCAAGAAGAAGAUUACAAACGGGAUGAGGAGAGACCAAUGGACAUUGAGAUGAACUCAAUAGGAACUUCUAAUAACAGAAGCAUUCAGUGAACUCGUUUACAUGUCCAAGGAAGGAGAUUUAUGUGUGAAGAAGAUGGAUAAUAAAGCCUGGCCACUUAUGUAACGAGAAGCUGGGUUCAGGUCCAACACCACCUGCUAAUUUGUACACGAGUGAGACUACUUCUGUAGCUAAUUUGCCAACAUCUGAUGAGUUUUCACAUUCUGCAUAAACUCGCACGAUGUCUUCAGUUCCAGAAGG
Molecule: RNA transcript, 3204 nt
Organism: Formica exsecta
Lineage: Eukaryota; Metazoa; Arthropoda; Insecta; Hymenoptera; Formicidae
Gene name: RNA-binding protein 4.1
Exons: 10
Source: RefSeq, a predicted model, not a curated record